This 422-nucleotide ribosomal RNA is filed under the name uncultured bacterium. Its description in RNAcentral is "partial 16S ribosomal RNA". It matches the Rfam family "Bacterial small subunit ribosomal RNA", at positions 360 to 774 of the family's 1533-position model. The record is from RNAcentral.
AAUCUUCCGCAAUGGACGAAAGUCUGACGGAGCGAUGCCGCGUGAGUGAUGAAGGUCUUCGGAUCGGAAAACUCUGUUGUUAGGGAAGAACAAGUAUCGGAGUAAUAUGCCGGUACCUUGACGGUACCUAACCAAAAAGCCCCGGCCAACUACGUCCCAGACGCCGCGGUAAUACGUAGGGGGCAAGCGUUGUCCGGAAUUAUUGGGCGUAAAGCGCGCGCAGGCGGUUUGUUAAGUCUGAUGUGAAAGCCCACGGCUCAAACGUGGAGGGUCAUUGGAAACUGGGAAGCUGAGUGCAGAAGAGGAGAGUGGAAUUCCAUGUGUAGCGGUGAAAUGCGUAGAGAUAUGGAGGAACACCAGUGGCGAAGGCGACUCUCAGGUCUGCAACUGACGCUGAGGCGCGAAAGCGUGGGGAGCGAACA